Molecule: ribosomal RNA, 428 nt
Filed under: Salmonella enterica subsp. enterica serovar Infantis
Lineage: Bacteria; Pseudomonadati; Pseudomonadota; Gammaproteobacteria; Enterobacterales; Enterobacteriaceae
Description: partial 23S ribosomal RNA
Rfam family: Bacterial large subunit ribosomal RNA
Source: RNAcentral
AAUCCAUAGGUUAAUGAGGCGAACCGGGGGAACUGAAACAUCUAAGUACCCCGAGGAAAAGAAAUCAACCGAGAUUCCCCCAGUAGCGGCGAGCGAACGGGGAGGAGCCCAGAGCCUGAAUCAGCAUGUGUGUUAGUGGAAGCGUCUGGAAAGGCGCGCGAUACAGGGUGACAGCCCCGUACACAAAAGCGCAUGUGCUGUGAGCUCGAUGAGUAGGGCGGGACACGUGGUAUCCUGUCUGAAUAUGGGGGGACCAUCCUCCAAGGCUAAAUACUCCUGACUGACCGAUAGUGAACCAGUACCGUGAGGGAAAGGCGAAAAGAACCCCGGCGAGGGGAGUGAAAAAGAACCUGAAACCGUGUACGUACAAGCAGUGGGAGCCCCACCACCAAAGCAUUCUCUGGUGUUGAAGGCCCUGCAAAGCAGCA